This 465-nucleotide ribosomal RNA is filed under the name Vreelandella stevensii. RNAcentral describes it as "partial 16S ribosomal RNA". It matches the Rfam family "Bacterial small subunit ribosomal RNA", at positions 338 to 795 of the family's 1533-position model. The record is from RNAcentral. Lineage: Bacteria; Pseudomonadati; Pseudomonadota; Gammaproteobacteria; Oceanospirillales; Halomonadaceae.
CCUACGGGAGGCUGCAGUGGGGAAUAUUGGACAAUGGGCGAAAGCCUGAUCCAGCCAUGCCGCGUGUGUGAAGAAGGCCUUCGGGUUGUAAAGCACUUUCAGUGGGGAAGAAAGCCUUGGGGCUAAUACCCUCGAGGAAGGACAUUACCCACAGAAGAAGCACCGGCUAACUCCGUGCCAGCAGCCGCGGUAAUACGGAGGGUGCGAGCGUUAAUCGGAAUUACUGGGCGUAAAGCGCGCGUAGGCGGUCUGAUAAGCCGGUUGUGAAAGCCCCGGGCUCAACCUGGGAACGGCAUCCGGAACUGUCAGGCUAGAGUGCAGUAGAGGAAGGUAGAAUUCCCGGUGUAGCGGUGAAAUGCGUAGAGAUCUGGAGGAAUACCAGUGGCGAAGGCGGCCUUCUGGACUGACACUGACGCUGAGGUGCGAAAGCGUGGGUAGCAAACAGGAUUAGAUACCCUAGUAGUC